ACGAGAAGAGAUUGUCAACUUAGCCAAGAUUGACUGCCUGCAUGAUCAAACAAAAGGCUCUUAUUCAGAUUUCUCUGGUGAAGGCUCUCUGUAAGAUUUUAGGCAGGUCAUUCUUGGCUACGAAACAAAAGACUCUUCUCA
Eucalyptus grandis is the source of this 141-nucleotide non-coding RNA. The record is from Rfam. Lineage: Eukaryota; Viridiplantae; Streptophyta; Magnoliopsida; Myrtales; Myrtaceae.